AGAGUUUGAUCCUGGCUCAGGAUGAACGCUGGCGGCGUGCCUAACACAUGCAAGUCGAAGAAGCAUUUAAAGAAGCGACUUCGGUCAAAUCUUUUUAUGACUUAGUGGCGGACGGGUGGUAACGCGUGAGCAAUCUGCCUUUCAGAGGGGGACAACACCGGGAAACUGGUGCUAAUACGCAUAAAGUAUGCAGACCGCAUGAUCAGCAUACCAAAGGAGCAAUCCGCUGAAAGAUGGCUCGCGUCUGAUUAGCUAGUUGGUGGGGUAACGGCCUACCAAGGCAACGAUCAGUAGCGGACUGAGAGGUUGAACGGCCACAUUGGGACUGAGAUACGGCCCAGACUCCUACGGGAGCAGCAGUGGGGGAUAUUGCACAAUGGGGGAAACCCUGAUGCAGCAACGCCGCGUGAAGGUGACGGUCUUCGGAUUGUAAACUUCUUUUCUUAAGGACGAUAAUGACGGUACUUAAGGAUAAGCCACGGCUAACUACGUGCCAGCAGCCGCGGUAAUACGUAGGUGGCAAGCGUUAUCGGAUUUACUGGGUGUAAAGGGCGUGUAGGCGGGACUACAAGUCAGGAGUGAAAACUAUGGCUCAACCCAUAGACUGCUUUUGAAACUGUAGUUCUUGAGUGAUGGAGAGGCAGGCGGAUUCCCGGUGUAGCGGUGAAAUGCGUAGAUAUCGGGAGGAACACCAGUGGCGAAGGCGGCUGCUGGACAUUAACUGACGCUGAGGCGCGAAAGCGUGGGGAGCAAACAGGAUUAGAUACCUGGUAGUCCACGCCGUAAACGAUGAAUACUAGGUGUGGGGGGACUGACCCCCUCCGUGCGGAGUUAACACAAUAAGUAUUCCACCUGGGGAGUACGACCGCAAGGUUGAAACUCAAAGAAUUGACGGGGGCC
This 900-nucleotide ribosomal RNA is filed under the name uncultured Bacillota bacterium. RNAcentral's name for it is "bacterial SSU rRNA". It matches the Rfam family "Bacterial small subunit ribosomal RNA", at positions 8 to 921 of the family's 1533-position model. The record is from RNAcentral. Lineage: Bacteria; Bacillati; Bacillota.